GACGAACGCUGGCGGCGUGCUUAACACAUGCCAGUCGAACGGAAAGGCCCUGCUUUUGUGGGGUGCUCGAGUGGCGAACGGGUGAGUAACACGUGAGUAACCUGCCCUUGACUUUGGGAUAACUUCAGGAAACUGGGGCUAAUACCGGAUAGGAGCUCCUGCUGCAUGGUGGGGGUUGGAAAGUUUCGGCGGUUGGGGAUGGACUCGCGGCUUAUCAGCUUGUUGGUGGGGUAGUGGCUUACCAAGGCUUUGACGGGUAGCCGGCCUGAGAGGGUGACCGGCACAAUGGGACCUGGGUACCGGCCAGGCUUCUACGGGAGGCAGGAGGUGGGAAUUAUGGACAAUGGGCGGAAGCCCUACGGAGGAACGCCGCGUGGCGGGAUAAGGCCUUUCGGGUUGAAAACCGCUUUGGCUUGGACGAAGGGUGAGGGGUGGGUAUUGGGAAAGAAGGACCCGCCUACUUCGUU
This 467-nucleotide ribosomal RNA is filed under the name uncultured bacterium. Its description in RNAcentral is "partial 16S ribosomal RNA". It matches the Rfam family "Bacterial small subunit ribosomal RNA", at positions 28 to 507 of the family's 1533-position model. The record is from RNAcentral.